AUCGGGGCAUGGGCGGAGCCUGACCCAGCCAUGCCGCGUGCAGGAUGAAGGCCUUCUGGGUUGUAAACUGCUUUUAUCAGGGAAGAAAAGACCCAUGCGUGGGGCACUGACGGUACCUGAGGAAUAAGCACCGGCUAACUCCGUGCCAGCAGCCGCGGUAAUACGGAGGGUGCAAGCGUUGUCCGGAUUUAUUGGGUUUAAAGGGUGCGUAGGCGGCCUCUUAAGUCAGUGGUGAAAGCCCGCAGCUCAACUGCGGAACUGCCAUUGAUACUGGGAGGCUUGAGUACAGACGAGGUAGGCGGAAUUGAAGAUGUAGCGGUGAAAUGCUUAGAUAUCUUCAAGAACCCCGAUUGCGUAGGCAGCUUACUAGGCUGUAACUGACGCUGAGGCACGAAAGCGUGGGGAGCGAACAGGAUUAGAUACCCUGGUAGUCCACGCCGUAAACGAUGAUUACUCGAUGUCGGCGACAGAUUGUCGGCGUCUUAGCGAAAGCGUUAAGUAAUCCACCUGGGGAGUACGCCCGCAAGGGUGAAACUCAAUGAAUUUGACGGA
This 552-nucleotide ribosomal RNA is filed under the name Nibribacter koreensis. RNAcentral describes it as "bacterial SSU rRNA". It matches the Rfam family "Bacterial small subunit ribosomal RNA", at positions 363 to 917 of the family's 1533-position model. The record is from RNAcentral. Lineage: Bacteria; Pseudomonadati; Bacteroidota; Cytophagia; Cytophagales; Hymenobacteraceae.